UGAGGAAUAUUGGUCAAUGGGCGAAAGCCUGAACCAGCCAUGCCGCGUGCAGGAAGACGGUCCUAUGGAUUGUAAACUGCUUUUAUUUGGGAAUAAACCUCUGGUCGUGACCGGAGCUGAAGGUACCAAAUGAAUAAGCACCGGCUAACUCCGUG
RNAcentral lists this ribosomal RNA (155 nucleotides) under uncultured bacterium. RNAcentral's name for it is "partial 16S ribosomal RNA". It matches the Rfam family "Bacterial small subunit ribosomal RNA", at positions 355 to 507 of the family's 1533-position model. RNAcentral also lists the same sequence under 1 other name. The record is from RNAcentral.